Molecule: ribosomal RNA, 847 nt
Filed under: Psychrobacter pacificensis
Lineage: Bacteria; Pseudomonadati; Pseudomonadota; Gammaproteobacteria; Moraxellales; Moraxellaceae
Description: bacterial SSU rRNA
Rfam family: Bacterial small subunit ribosomal RNA
Source: RNAcentral
UCGAGCGGAAACGAUGGUAGCUUGCUACCAGGCGUCGAGCGGCGGACGGGUGAGUAAUACUUAGGAAUCUACCUAGUAGUGGGGGAUAGCUCGGGGAAACUCGAAUUAAUACCGCAUACGUCCUACGGGAGAAAGCAGGGGAUCAUUAGACCUUGCGCUAUUAGAUGAGCCUAAGUCGGAUUAGCUAGAUGGUGGGGUAAAGGCCUACCAUGGCGACGAUCUGUAGCUGGUCUGAGAGGAUGAUCAGCCACACCGGGACUGAGACACGGCCCGGACUCCUACGGGAGGCAGCAGUGGGGAAUAUUGGACAAUGGGGGGAACCCUGAUCCAGCCAUGCCGCGUGUGUGAAGAAGGCCUUUUGGUUGUAAAGCACUUUAAGCAGUGAAGAAGACUCUUCGGUUAAUACCCGGGGACGAUGACAUUAGCUGCAGAAUAAGCACCGGCUAACUCUGUGCCAGCAGCCGCGGUAAUACAGAGGGUGCAAGCGUUAAUCGGAAUUACUGGGCGUAAAGCGAGCGUAGGUGGCUUGAUAAGUCAGAUGUGAAAUCCCCGGGCUUAACCUGGGAACUGCAUCUGAAACUGUUAGGCUAGAGUAGGUGAGAGGGAAGUAGAAUUUCAGGUGUAGCGGUGAAAUGCGUAGAGAUCUGAAGGAAUACCGAUGGCGAAGGCAGCUUCCUGGCAUCAUACUGACACUGAGGCUCGAAAGCGUGGGUAGCAAACAGGAUUAGAUACCCUGGUAGUCCACGCCGUAAACGAUGUCUACUAGUCGUUGGGUCCCUUGAGGACUUAGUGACGCAGCUAACGCAAUAAGUAGACCGCCUGGGGAGUACGGCCGCAAGGUUAAAAC